Impatiens glandulifera is the source of this 553-nucleotide long non-coding RNA. RefSeq lists it as uncharacterized. The record is from RefSeq and is a predicted model, not a curated record. The transcript has 3 exons. Lineage: Eukaryota; Viridiplantae; Streptophyta; Magnoliopsida; Ericales; Balsaminaceae.
UCAAUAUUUCAUAAGAAAAAACAGAUUAUUUCCAAAAACUAUCUUUUAUGAUUUAAAAAAAUUUGAAUGAAAUGAGCAGGAAACUGUGGUAUUUCUGGUAUUGAAGUCAGUAGUAUUGAUCCUUUUGGCAAUUGGUGUUAGAUUCUGUUCCACACUCUGAAAAAAAGAAGUAAAGGUGAACAAGAGCGGGAAGUUUCUGACAAAAUUGAAAACAAUUUGGUUUGCUGGAAAUGUCUCAAGCAUUCAGGUUAAAGUCUAAAGAUAAAAAUGCAACCCAGGAGCUGGGGAAGUGAAAGCUCAUUUAGUAGACAGCAAGAAGUGGAAGCCUAUCAGAGAAGCCUCUCUGUGUUGAAGCGAGAUAUGGCCAAUAAAAUGCAUUUUAUUGAUCCGGUUCUAUUCAAUGCAAAUGCUCAUGCGCUGGAAUUAUAAAUUACAGAGGCCGAAAAGAAAGGGAAACUUGUGACAAGUUGUAGUAAGCAUAAAGAACUAAGUACAGUAAAGUUUUUGUAAUAUUUCCUAUUUCUAUUUAACAAAGUAUGAAUAGUUCCUUGAA